CAUAAAGGCCUGGGUGGUAUUUGCUAAGCAAGAGUAGUUAUCAGUUUGUGUGGUGAGAAAGGUCACCUCUUUAAGAUAAGAGACUCCAUCCACUCCAGUGCACACAUCAUCCGCCGCAGAGGAACCCGUGUGCUGGGUUCUGAGUCUCUUACCUCCAACAACUUCCUCUCAUCCAUAAAAAUGUCCUGGGUCAGUGAGAUGGCAUGGAGGGUGACCUGAAGGACAGCACCUCCCAGGAGUGUAGGGUGGGUCCCAAACUCCCAAGAUUCCCUGAAGAUGCCAGCAUUCAGAGACUUGAAGAAGAAGGGACUACUAAACAGCUCCAAUGUGCUUCCUACUGAUGGGUAUAGAAUCACUGGAAGAAACAUAUAAAUACAAGCAUUCAACACUGCUGAAGAUUCCUGGGGCCAAAGCUCCCACCACGCUCAGGGAGCAACCCAGACCCUGAUUGAUUAGUUGAGACUACAGGAGCCCUGGAUAGCUCUGCCCUCAAGUUUGAACUACCUUGAGCACAUCACAAUAAAUGCUGUCACGCUUCACAGUCGGGGGAUGACAAGGCCUCCUUCUAGCCCAGACUGCCUUGGAACUCAUGGCAAGUCUCCUGCCUCAGCUUUCUCAGCUUUUCAGUUCUCUGGUUUUUCAAGUGUAAGCUACUAAUGCCCGGCUCACCAAGCACCUUCUACCAUGUUGUAAAAGACAGAGGAGAUAGUAUGAAAGGUUGCAAUAUGGUUCUUCUCAAAGCAAACACAAACACACAGAGGUAAUGUUAAUACCAUCCGAAAAUCACGCUUAAUAGGUCAGAUGGGACGUUCAAAGAACCACCAUGCCAAUCAACAGAGUUGAAGACCCAAAAGAAAGUUCUCAGGAUAGCGGCGCAGUGACAGCUUCCCUGCCUGGAGGAGCUGGAAGGAGACAAAUGCUUUGCAGAGGUGGAUCUGCAGACAGUGGUGUUGCGGGUAAGGCUGUGGCAUGAGCAAGGCUGAAUG
Long non-coding RNA from Mus musculus (house mouse), 986 nucleotides. RefSeq annotates it as predicted gene, 35650. The record is from RefSeq and is a predicted model, not a curated record. The transcript has 3 exons. NCBI's taxonomy places the organism in Eukaryota, Metazoa, Chordata, Mammalia, Rodentia, Muridae.